GACACAAACGUUUAUUUUUGAAGACAGGUUUCCAUUUUACACAAAUCAUCUGAAACAUCUAAAAUGUAUUAAGUAUUUCACGGAGACUCACUUGAUCAGAACACAGACACUAUGCUAAAUUACAUGUUAGUAAGUAUACAUUAAGUCUUACAAAUAUUGGGUCAAUUAUAUCUAGUUCCAAAAUCAGUGCUUUCUAUCUUCAGAUCUGUUCAAAAGUUACACUCAAAUAGUUUACCUUCUACUUUAGUGGCUAAGAAGUAAAUGCUUAAUAGGAUAGUUAAUUCUCAAAUCUAUACAAUAAGGAUGGCUUCUAUCCUGCCAAUAUUACCCCAAGGAUUUAGGUAAAUAAAGUACCUGGUUGUAACAUGGUAGUUACUUAAUACAGCUUAUCCUUUUCCCAAGCAAUGUUUUCAAAUAAGCAUAAAAGUCUACGAAUAAUUUGGGUUAGCUUGAUAGAAGAAAGUAAUUUAAUCAAUGAUUGGUAUGAACAGUUACUUUAGGCUUUUUGUGAAAAGUCAGCAGAAACUGGAAAUAUACCCUAGCUAAGCCACAGUUUACAAAACUCAAAGGAAUUAUUCUAAAAACUUAUUAUUCCUUUUAGGGUAGAUUUCUGAGCCCCAGCAUCAGGUUCCAACCAUCUAGAAACAGCCUAGAGAUCUGAAUUAAAAGCAGCAGCAACAAACAAGCAGCAUAAGCCUAGCAACUACUGUGUUCCUACUUUCUAAAGGGGAAUGAAGAAUAUGAACUCUCAACAUCCUGCUCAAGCCACCAUGCCUGCUGCUCGCUACCACGCAUUCUUCCUAUGACAGACUCUUAUCCCUUUGGAACUAUAAGGUCAAAUAAACUUUCUCCUAUAAUUUA
Long non-coding RNA from Peromyscus leucopus (white-footed mouse), 861 nucleotides. RefSeq lists it as uncharacterized. The record is from RefSeq and is a predicted model, not a curated record. NCBI's taxonomy places the organism in Eukaryota, Metazoa, Chordata, Mammalia, Rodentia, Cricetidae. The transcript has 2 exons.